RNAcentral lists this ribosomal RNA (310 nucleotides) under uncultured soil bacterium. Its description in RNAcentral is "bacterial SSU rRNA". It matches the Rfam family "Bacterial small subunit ribosomal RNA", at positions 26 to 363 of the family's 1533-position model. The record is from RNAcentral.
AGAACGAACGCUGGCGGCAUGCCUAACACAUGCAAGUCGAACGAGACCUUCGGGUCUAGUGGCGCACGGGUGCGUAACGCGUGGGAAUCUGCCCUUGGGUUCGGAAUAACAGUUGGAAACGACUGCUAAUACCGGAUGAUGACGUAGGUCCAAAGAUUUAUCGCCCAGGGAUGAGCCCGCGUAGGAUUAGCUAGUUGGUAAGGUAAAAGCUUACCAAGGCGACGAUCCAUAGCUGGUCUGAGAGGAUGAUCAGCCACACUGGGACUGAGACACGGCCCAGACUCCUACGGGAGGCGAGCAGUGGGGAAUA